GACCUUGUAGCUCAGAAGGUAGAGCAUCGUUCUAGAAAUGCGCGGGUUCGAAUCCCAGCCGCGGUCA
Molecule: non-coding RNA, 67 nt
Organism: Paramuricea clavata
Lineage: Eukaryota; Metazoa; Cnidaria; Anthozoa; Malacalcyonacea; Plexauridae
Source: the annotation of a GenBank genome assembly